Oxyura jamaicensis (ruddy duck) is the source of this 1725-nucleotide long non-coding RNA. RefSeq lists it as uncharacterized. The transcript has 4 exons. The record is from RefSeq and is a predicted model, not a curated record. Lineage: Eukaryota; Metazoa; Chordata; Aves; Anseriformes; Anatidae.
GACAUGGUGCUUCUGACUGUUAGUCCUGGUGGUGAGCUGUUAGGCUGUGGCUUUUAUGGUUUAUUCUAAAGAACAAAGAACUUCCUUUACCCAAACUGAAAGCUCAAAAGGAAAAGGGCUUCUUUCUCCUGCUGAAUGCAUGUACAACAACUUUGAUGGAGAAUGUGUUUCUUUGUAGAAUUUACCGGGCAUGGAAAGAGGCAAACUCAUCAGAGGCCAUCAACAAGUCCUGCAGUUCAGUGAGGGAAACUAUAUUUCCCUUCAUGUGGCAAAGCUCUGAGGUGAUGAAUGCCCUUCAAGGUGAGUGCUUCUAAUUCACAAGCUCACUUUCAUCAUCUUCAAGGACUUUCAGCUGUCCUUUGUCAUUGCAAACCAAGCAGGUGGAGGUGGAGGUGCUAGGGCAGGAGGAAAGGCAAAGCUUAACCUUGCACAUAUGUAACCUAGAAAUAACUUUUUUAAAAAUCAAAACAGAUGCAUACCUUUUGAAACUACAGUUAAAGUGGAUAAAGGACUUUUUACAAAUUAUAUAUAUUUUGCUGGCUGCUGCAGAUGGAAGCUGAAAGAGAAAAGUAAAUAAUGCUUGAUAAUAGAAAAAAAAAAUCUAUAUUCCAUGCAAAGAAGGUGUCUGAAGGAAGCAGGGGGCAUCACACUGGUAACAACAAAGCAGAGUUAAGACCUGCCUAUAAGGAUCAAAGGAAAGAUCCCAAUUCUAAGUUCCCCUGUUGGAGAAUGUAUAGAGGGUUUCUGAACUCCACUCUCACCUGUAUAUGAGCAGGGUGAGCAUGUGGUGCAGAGCUGCUGGCACCAGUCUGAAGCAGCCCUGGUCCCUUCUACAUCAGAUUCUUUGAACUGCCUCGGAAGGGAGGUAGGAGACCAGAUUAUGGCUGACUGAUAUUGAACUACAGAUGAUUAAGGAAAGGAAGUUUGUGAGAUCAUACUUAGUGGAUGCGCAUGCAUGCACAUUCCCAUGUGUAACUUUCUCUUCUAUGGCUUGGCUUCAUAUAAAUCUGAAAUUGCAAAGAAGAAGCUCCCAGAACUUAUUAAUGAGCAUAAUAACAGAGGAGGAAGUGUCCCUUCUGAAGGAAAAAUUCCAGUUCCUCACAUACUCACAUCUCAAGGCCUUACCUACCAAACAAUCUGCACAGGAAGAAAACUGUAGCAGUGCUGCAAUAAAGGACAGAACCCUUGGAACCUCUAGACCCUUUUGGACACUAGAGAAGUUACUCCAGCUGUAAGGCAGUCAGAAAUGUCUCUUGUGGCUCUACUGUUCCAUACAGAACAAUCUGCUUUCCUCUGCAAAAUAGGAAAUGUACCAGAACAGAAAAAAUCUGUGAAUGUUUCAGUUCUUUUGCUCUCCUCCAAUGUCCUUUAUUGCACAGCAGCAGCUCAGCAGCAUCUCCAUGGAGGAUUGUCAUGGCAUGAAAACAUUCCAUUAUGAGAACAGUAAGUCAUGCUUGUACACUGGCCAAAAAUGGUGAGAUUUGUUCUCUCCAGAGAUUUCAUUAUGCUGUCUAAUAUGUUAAAUAAUUGCCCCAAACCUACUGGAAUCACAACUUGUUUCUUCUUAGUUUUUAUUUUUUUUUUUUUGACAGUGAAUUUGUAUACAUCCUCUCCUCCAUGCUUUCAGGUGCCUUCACUUUAACACCUCCAAACUCUGAAAAAUUAGACCAGUGUUUCCAUAGCAGCUUUAACUCUAAUCCUUAUUUGCAUUACAAUAAAAUUAUU